CCGUCUCGCGAGUGUCAGUGGCUACACGUGUUUCAGGAAAACAAUUAGUUUUGGUGUAAUUACUAGUGUAAUCUUUUACAGAAAAUCAAUUUUAAGCUAAAUUAUUACUAAAACAAGGGUGGUGGUACAUAAGUUUAUUUAUUCUCGGCCAAGAAUUUAUCAAUAUUGUCUCCGAACACUGGCAAGGCUGGCUCAAGAUAUAUACUGAUGCUUCUAAGCUGGACGAAGGUGGAUGCACAGGUGCUGCAGUAUGGAUCCCAGCAUACAAAAUAACAUUGAAUUUUAAGUGUCCUCCUGUUACAUCAGUGUUCACCGGAGAAUCUGUUGCUAUACUUGAAGCUAUUCGCUAUAUAAUCUCUCAUCAACUCAAUAACACUCUGAUUUUCACCGAUUCUCUAAGCUGUCUUCAAUCCAUUUUAGCCAAUCCCUUCAAAUCCAAAUCCAAAUUUCCAAUAAUUUUCAAAAUUCGAGAAGCCCUAUAUCAGUGUAAUCAGCUGAAUUUAAAAGUCGUUUUGGCCUGGAUCCCAAGUCAUCGAGGAAUUCCUGGUAAUGAAACAGUAGACUCAUCCGCCAAAAUUGCUAUAACCACUGGCUCGUUGGAACAUUACAAGUUAUAUGCGCAUGACGCUUCCUCCCUGCCACGCAGUCACCUUUACAAAUCGUGGAAUACUCACUGGGAAAAGUCUAAACGAUUGGCUGGUAGAUAUUAUGCAGACAUCCAACAGAGCAUUCCCACAAGACCCUGGUUCUUUAAAUAUCACCACUUAUCUAAAAGGACUGUUUCCAUUAUCUGUCGCUUGCGUCUUGGUCAUGCUUGUACCCCGGUUCACCUUGCAAAAAUGCGGAUUAAAGAUAAUUCCCUAUGUGAGUGCGGCUUAGACGAGGGAUCAACCAACCACAUAUUUUUCAAUUGUCCGAAAAUUGGCUCUUCCUUGUUUGAUUUUCUUCCCAAAAAAUUCCCACUCCCCACUAACAUUAAGUGUGUCCUUAAUUGUAAUAACCCUUCCACUUUAAAAUCCCUUGUUAAAUUCAUUAACUCAAACAAAAUUAAUUUGUAGGUGAAUGGUAUAUAAGUUUGCUUAGAUUGCAGCUACAAAAUUUUCUAUUUUUAUAACAACAACCACUGUGUAAAAGCUGCGCACGUGACAUUGGCGGAAUAGUGUGCCCUCAGUGGCGAAAAAACGCAAGUUCAUCGCCAUAAACCAAAGAAGAAGAAGAAGAAG
Ostrinia nubilalis (European corn borer) is the source of this 1223-nucleotide long non-coding RNA. RefSeq lists it as uncharacterized. The transcript has 3 exons. The record is from RefSeq and is a predicted model, not a curated record. NCBI's taxonomy places the organism in Eukaryota, Metazoa, Arthropoda, Insecta, Lepidoptera, Crambidae.